CUUAGGGAAAAUGAGUGGCCAC
Molecule: non-coding RNA, 22 nt
Filed under: Rattus norvegicus (Norway rat)
Lineage: Eukaryota; Metazoa; Chordata; Mammalia; Rodentia; Muridae
Source: RNAcentral